RNAcentral lists this ribosomal RNA (468 nucleotides) under uncultured bacterium. RNAcentral describes it as "partial 16S ribosomal RNA". It matches the Rfam family "Bacterial small subunit ribosomal RNA", at positions 28 to 507 of the family's 1533-position model. The record is from RNAcentral.
GACGAACGCUGGCGGCGUGCUUAACACAUGCAAGUCGAACGGAAAGGCCCUGCUAUUGUGGGGUUCUCGAGUGGCGAACGGGUGAGUAACACGUGAGCAACCUGCCCUUGACUUUGGGAUAACUUCAGGAAACUGGGGCUAAUACCGGAUAGCAGCUCCUGCUGCAUGGUGGGGGUUGGAAAGUUUCGGCGGUUGGGGAUGGACUCGCGGCUUAUCAGCUUGUUGGUGGGGUAGUGGCUUACCAAGGCUUUGACGGGUAGCCGGCCUGAGAGGGUGACCGGCCACAUUGGGACUGAGAUACGGCCCAGACUCCUACGGGAGGCAGCAGUGGGGAAUAUUGCACAAUGGGCGGAAGCCUGAUGCAGCAACGCCGCGUGCGGGAUGACGGCCUUCGGGUUGUAAACCGCUUUCGCCUGUGACGAAGCGUGAGUGACGGUAAUGGGUAAAGAAGCACCGGCUAACUACGUG